GGUUGGGGAGGCCGACUGGGCCAGAUGGUUGGUUGGGCUGGUGGUGAGGGAAAAAGAGGGGGAAGGAGUGGUGGGCUGGUUGAGGGGUUGAGCCCAAGAGGAAUAAGAAUGCUCUUCCCAUUUAUAUUUCAAGGAGACAGAGAGGGAAAAGAAUAUUCCAAUUUCUAUUUGGAGAAAGGAAUUGAAGGAUUUUCCACUAUUUGCUAAAAUGAUUGAGCGGGAAAGGGAAAAGAGAUUGAGAUGAGUCACCACGAAUUUAAGAUAGAUUUAGCGGCAGAGAUUUGGUGAUGAGAUCAACAAGAGAAAAGUUUUGGAGAAGGGAAUUUGGAAAAGAGUUCAAAAUGGAUUAAAGGAGUUUGAGACGUACUCCAAUGAAAAGAUUGAGAAAGGAUUCGCUUCGCCUUUGAGAUAGGCUCAACGGAGAUAUGGGAAUACUUUGCUAAGGAUUUGUGCACUCCAAAAGAAACUCAAAACCCUAAACAAGACCCAACUCAAGACCACUCACGAACAAAAGCACUCGUCUAGAAACAAAUCUAUAUGUAUGCCACGAUUUGUUAGCGGGUUAGGAUCGAGUUAGAUCUAAAAACUAUAUGAUUCACACGAUUACAGGAAAAAUUUUAAAAAGCUCGUAUUUUUGGUUUUCGUAAAAAUCCGGGAUGUUACACUAUACAAUUGAAAUUUGAUUUAAUAGAGUUGUUUUUGGUCCUGCUGGUGUGUUGCCACCAGCAGGACGUCUGCAUUUGAUCAUCUCUCUCUGUUGUAAGUUCAGCUGCACGAAAACUGCAAGUAUGGGGGGGUCGCCCGACCCCCCAACUUCAUCUCUGAACUGCCGUGAGCAUGGAACAACACUGCAUACACCUCGGCACGUCAUGGCACCAAAAACAGGCGCGAUGAGGGGGUCGCCCGACCCCCUUUCUAUGGCAAAAGGAAACGACACAAGUGCAGAAAGACUUCCCGAGGGACGUAGAAUCGAGUGGCAGGGCCAGGAACCUCCAGGUGGGGUCGGCCGACCCUUCCAUGGAGCCCUGGGCCCAACAGGCAGCUUCUAUACAACGAAAGACAUCUUUCCUGCCCGGUUUGCUAAUUCUUCCCCCUCUCAGUCUGUCCAAUUCUUUACCUUUGUGUCACAAUUAAAAUAAAAUUUGAUAGUUUAAACUUGUUUGCAAAAUAAAAAGUGAACUGGUACAUGAUUUAAGAGAAAUAGUGACAUAAAGUAUAGUUCUUACAAUUGUUCAUCCUCAUGGGUAAAAAUCUAUAGGAACCAUAUUGACUAAGUUGUUGAUGAAAGUGAUAUAACUCUUGGCUAAGAAUUCAUAACAUUUCUAUUCAAGGUACUUAGAGAUUUGUUUCAAAAAUAUCACAAAACCAUAGUAUCAUUUACUCCUCAUUAGCAAGAAAUUCCCACUAAAAGCCAUACACUUAGAUAUUCAAGUAACCAUUUUAUGAAAUGCAACCUGCUUUUGUAAUGAGUUUUGUCAAAACCUUGUUGACCCUAGUGAGAGUUGUAUCAUAGUCACAAGAUCAAGAUCACGUACACACCACAUAUAUAUAUGCUGCUUCUACACUGGAAGUACGCAACCACAUGUAUUGUGCAUCCACUAAAUAGGUUGCUCCAUACUCUAAGUGUUAGAACACCUCUCUAAAUAUUGUUUAGAAAAUGAGACAUAAAAGGGCUUGGCAAAAUAAAAGAAAAAGAAAAGAUGGACAUGUGCAAGUCCAUGAAAAAAAAAAUUGAGCACAUAAAGCUCGAAGAAAAAGAAAAUCUAGCCAUGUCUCAAUAUACAAGUAGAGAGAGUGUAGUAAAUAAAGGAGCAACCUAGUCCACCAUAUAACACACUUGCACAUCUUGAUCUAUGACUAUGACACUCCUCUCUUUGGAUCCUUGUUUUUGACUUAACAAUAUUUGCAAAGUAGAGUAUGCUACCUUGUUUAUCCCUACCAAGCCCCAUAUAAGCCUAUAAUUAUAGGAUGAAACAAGUUGGCAUUCAUGCCUUGGUGAGGACUACUAAAAAAAACUUUGAGUGAUCUAGAGCGCUAAAUGAGGAGUAGGAUUGAACUAUGUGACUUAUUUUAAAAAGUGUCAUAAAAACUCUAAGUACCAAGAAUAUGAAAUUGGAAUUUGAUCUUGUUCUGAGAGUUGUUCCUUUUCUCAACCUCUGAAGGAUAUAUGCUAGACACUUACACAAAAACCCAUUUGGAUGAACUAUGUUCGAACUAGCAUUUUAUGCUCACUACUAUCUUAAGUUAGAAACCAUUGAUCACUCAUUUUUAACCUUUACUCGAGGACGAGCAAAGACUCAAGUGUGGGGGGUCUUGUGGACGGUAUUUAUACCAUGUUUUCUACUAUCAUAACCAUCAACAUAAGACUCAUUUUGGGAGAAAACCACCAAACAAAGUAGUAAUAUAGGUACAUAUAACCUAGUUCCACAUGUACAUGCUACUAUUUGGUUGCAGGAGUAAGAACAGGUACUUUUCAAGGGUCCAAACACUAAGAAGGGGUGAAUAACUAAAGAUCAGUGACACCAGUAACCAAGACAACAUUAUAGUCAUG
Molecule: long non-coding RNA, 2551 nt
Filed under: Sorghum bicolor (sorghum)
Lineage: Eukaryota; Viridiplantae; Streptophyta; Magnoliopsida; Poales; Poaceae
Description: long non-coding RNA (SBIC_LNC012990)
Source: RNAcentral